Molecule: ribosomal RNA, 620 nt
Filed under: uncultured fungus
Lineage: Eukaryota; Fungi
Description: eukaryotic LSU rRNA
Rfam family: Eukaryotic large subunit ribosomal RNA
Source: RNAcentral
AUUGCAUAUCAAUAAGCGGAGGAAAAGAAACCAACAGGGAUUGCCUUAGUAGCGGCGAGUGAAGCGGCAAAAGCUCAAAUUUGAAAUCUGGCUCUUUCAGAGUCCGAGUUGUAAUUUGAAGAAGGUAUCUUUGGGUCUGGCUCUUGUCUAUGUUUCUUGGAACAGAACGUCGCAGAGGGUGAGAAUCCCGUGCGAUGAGAUGAUCCAGGCCUAUGUAAAGUUCCUUCGAAGAGUCGAGUUGUUUGGGAAUGCAGCUCUAAGUGGGUGGUAAAUUCCAUCUAAAGCUAAAUAUUGGCGAGAGACCGAUAGCGAACAAGUACAGUGAUGGAAAGAUGAAAAGAACUUUGAAAAGAGAGUGAAAAAGUACGUGAAAUUGUUGAAAGGGAAGGGCUUGAGAUCAGACUUGGUAUUUUGUAUGUUACUUCUUCGGGGGUGGCCUCUACAGUUUAUCGGGCCAGCAUCAGUUUGGGCGGUAGGAGAAUUGCGUUGGAAUGUGGCACGGCUUCGGUUGUGUGUUAUAGCCUUCGUCGAUACUGCCAGCCUAGACUGAGGACUGCGGUUUAUACCUAGGAUGUUGGCAUAAUGAUCUUAAGUCGCCCGUCUUGAAACACGGACCAAUC